RNAcentral lists this transfer RNA (76 nucleotides) under Minisyncoccota bacterium. RNAcentral's name for it is "tRNA-Gly". Lineage: Bacteria; Bacillati; Minisyncoccota. The record is from RNAcentral.
GCGGUUAAGCUGAUGGUUUCAGUCGCUGGCCUUCCAAGCCAUGCUGAGCAGGGUUCGAUUCCCUCUGACCGCUCCA